CCCCCCUCACCCCACACGGACAAACAUAUCCAGCUCGCGUGCCCUUUGGACACACGGACACACGGACAGGGACACACAGACACUCUGUGUGGCAGCCCCCGGUGAGGGACUGGGACCUGCCGACCCUUUGCGCAACAAAGGGCCCGAGGACCUGUGGCCUGGCCAGCUGAGGGACACUCGGGGACAGCGGGAGCUGAGCGUUCCAGGCUUUGGACACAGCCGGUUAUUGCAUCAAGAUUAAAUCAUUUCAAGGACUGAGGCGUCUGAGACUCUGCGAUGGGAAGGCUGGGACUGAGCUGGAGGACGAUCUGCAGAGUCCUGCCCGAGCAGGAGAGGGGCUGUGGUGCCUGAUGGUUUGUACGGCCCCUCUGGGGAGAAGGGAAGGAAAAGGCUUUUGCUACUUUAAAAAAAAAAAAAAAGUAAAUGAGAAAAUGGUUUUAAAGCUCUGUUGUGAUUUUACGGAGGUUGAGGGUUCAGCCCCUUGGAUCUGCAGAGGAUUUUGGCACUUAAUGCCCUGCACUCCAGGUAUAAAAUUCCUGGGCCAAUCAACUAAACCUCUGGGUGAGGCAAACAAGGACUAUCAGUUAGGUGAGGAAAAGGAGAAGAGGCUGCAGGCAGAGGGGCUGCUGAGUUUGAUUGGGUUGGAAAGGUUCAGGCAGAGCUUUGGGAUGUGCACGAGAGAGAGAGAGAAAAUCUUAUGGGAAAAAUUGCAGGAUGGAGAACCCGUAACAUCUUCAGAAACAGUCUUGUAACUCAGAAUUUUCCUGUCUAGUGCAGGAGUUGAGUGAAUGGGUCUUUUGUUCUGACAAAGAGCAAGACAGUAACGUUUGCACUGACAUCUGAUGACGAGGAAGUGACAUUACGACCCUUCAUUAAAACUGGUGAUUGUUGGGGUCACUAAACUGCCACUAAACCAGAGCCAUCUGCCAAAUCUCAGCCUCAGCAACCCAAAGAUCAAAGUUGGCCAGUAAAUCAGGGGAGCCUGAAAUCCAGCAAGUGGAAUCCCAUCAAUGCACCCCAUACAUUUGGACUCCUGUUGGUCCUGGCCAGCAAUUAAUAACAUUUCUAAUAGAUCCUGGAAUGCAACAUUCAGUAUUAACGCAGUGGGGGGGGCUGAGGAGCCCUGUGUGUGACCCAGGCAGCAAAGAGUUAAAAUCACUGGAGUAAACAGAGCAAGUGUUAUCUGCCUAAAAUCACUGGAGUAAACAGAGCAAGUGUUAUCUGCCGAGCUGCUGAGCUCAGUUUAUGGCUCCUGGGUGAGAAGUGAAGUCUUAACCCUAAAGGAAAUCCAGAGCCUGCAGCGUGCUGCUGCAAUCCCUGGCUCGGGGAUUGCUGGGGUAUCUCAGAGCUGGAUUUUUGCUGCAGCACGAAAUGGAAUUUCUGAAGUUGUGGCUGAUUUGGCUCCUCUAAGAGCUGCAGAACCCAACACCACAACCCAACAGCCACCCACGUGCCUGGGCAGUGGUGGGGGUCUCACAGUCCCCCUCGAAUUCUCCUGUCUGGGCAGUUUUUUACAGGCAGUUAAAUGCCAGUGCUGCACCUUUAACCGCUGCUGUGACAAAUCUGGUGGAGGUGGUCACUCAGAUUCAGAGUGUCCUGCUCAUGGAUGGCAACCCAAGAUGUGAAAGAUGAGUCUUGUACGAUUCCCUGCUGGAAACAGGACAGGGCUGGAUUGGUGCUUGCCUGGAAGGGAGGGCAGGACACCUUUAUCAGAGCCCACAGGGGCACAAACCUUCACCACAGCACAGGCUGCACUUGUGGAACUCUCACAAGCAGCCUCACUCCCUCAGGGCGUGGAAUUCAUGGGAGGAGACCCCCCUGGAAAGGCGGGGGAAGCAACAACAGCAGCGAAGCAAAGGGUUCAUGAAACAGAAGCUGAGGUUCCACCUGAGAGGCACCAAGUCCAGGCUGUUGAACUCGAGCCACUCAGGGGGAACCUGCCCGGCCCCCCCGAGAACCGUGGGGGUUGAUUUUUCCAGGGAUGAACCAGCACAGCCCCACUGAAGGUCCAAGGUCAGCCCUGAGGGUGACCCCCCUCAGGAGCCCAACACUUGGGUCCUACCAGCCCCGAGGGGGACCCAGCCAGAGGAUUUGUGUGACACAGGAACCAGGAAAGCCAGGGAGAGGUGAGAGUCCCUCUGCCUCGGGCCCUUUUGACUUCUGGGUUUCUUUUGUGGUACUGAACCAGCACCGAUGGAUUGUUCCUUCUAUUUAAUAAUUGGUCUGUAGUGGGCAAAACUUUCACUUUUUGUUUAACAGGAACCUUCUAACAGAUGACAUCGAGCUGUGUGGAACUGCUGAAACCUUUAACUGCCCCCAUAACUGCCUGUAUUAUCAGUUUAUUAAUUUUUGUGCCUUUUUUGCGUUAUUAAUAUCACCUUGUUGAGGACCAAAUAUUAGUCAGAUUUUGUAAGACAGACCACUAUAUGUAUUCCUUGUUUGAUUUUUGCUAAGUUUAUCUUGUCUUUUUACU
Molecule: long non-coding RNA, 2473 nt
Organism: Chiroxiphia lanceolata (lance-tailed manakin)
Lineage: Eukaryota; Metazoa; Chordata; Aves; Passeriformes; Pipridae
Exons: 3
Source: RefSeq, a predicted model, not a curated record